CCACUCAUGCAAAGGGUGCGUAAUAUCGAACUGGUCGAGUGAUCCAUGCACGAGGAUUUCCGGUGCUAAAACUUACUAACGAAGCUACGGAAACAGUAGUGAUGGGUAGGGGAGCUUCCCAUAUGGGUUGAAGCAUGACCGUAAGGACAUGUGGACAGUAUGGGAGUGAUAAUGUUGGCAAGAGUAGCGAGAUGGGGGUCAGAAUCCCCCAGUCCGUAAACCGAAUGUUACGAGUGGAAGGGUCGGCCGCCAUGGGUUAGUCGGGACCUAAGCCUAGGCAGAAAGGCGUAGGUGAUGGACAACAGGUUGAUAUUCCUGUACUACCGCUAACCGUUUGAGAGAAGGGAUGACACAGUAGGAUAAGCUAAGCACACUGUUGGUUAUGUGUGCCAAAGCAUUGAGGCAGUCAAAGUAGGCAAAUCCGCUUUGAUAAUGCGGGGAUUCGAGUGAGACAGACA
Molecule: ribosomal RNA, 458 nt
Filed under: Clostridioides difficile
Lineage: Bacteria; Bacillati; Bacillota; Clostridia; Peptostreptococcales; Peptostreptococcaceae
Description: bacterial LSU rRNA
Rfam family: Bacterial large subunit ribosomal RNA
Source: RNAcentral